Molecule: ribosomal RNA, 301 nt
Filed under: uncultured bacterium
Lineage: Bacteria
Description: partial 16S ribosomal RNA
Rfam family: Bacterial small subunit ribosomal RNA
Source: RNAcentral
CAGUCGCCGCGGGAAUACAGAGGGUGCGAGCGUUAAUCGGAUUUACUGGGCGUAAAGCGUGCGUAGGCGGCUUCUUAAGUCGGAUGUGAAAUCCCUGAGCUUAACUUAGGAAUUGCAUUCGAUACUGGGAAGCUAGAGUAUGGGAGAGGAUGGUAGAAUUCCAGGUGUAGCGGUGAAAUGCGUAGAGGUCUGGAGGAAUACCGAUGGCGAAGGCAGCCAUCUGGCCUAAUACUGACGCUGAGGUACGAAAGCAUGGGGAGCAAACAGGAUUAGAUACCCGGGUAGUCCCUGUCUCUUAUAC